Molecule: long non-coding RNA, 346 nt
Filed under: Homo sapiens (human)
Lineage: Eukaryota; Metazoa; Chordata; Mammalia; Primates; Hominidae
Description: non-protein coding lnc-GOLGA7-3:3
Source: RNAcentral
UUGAUGAGAAAGUGGGCAGAUCGGCUCUAUUCACAGCUGGGGGAAACUGACCACUUUAACAAAAGGAAGAAUGCUCAGGUAACAUCUAGCCCAAAGGUCGCUCAGGAAUGUUCAAAGCACUCAGGAGAGAGUGAAGUAUCCCAUCUUUGGGACACACAAGUCCCACUCAGCAUCCAUUGAAAGCGCAGCACCAAAAGCAUUGAGAUGGUGGCAGGACCUCAUUUUCCCUCUUCUCUAUUCCCUUACUCUUUCUCCAGCACAGAAGAAGCCUUGAUAAUGACAAGCUCUGUUGGAACAAAGUCACCUUAAAUUCACACAACUCUUGGUGCCAGACCCUGACAGCAGC